GGGGGGGGGCGAGAAUAAGAUGAUUGACAAACAAUAACAAACAAUACAAUUUAUCAUGUUCU
This 62-nucleotide small RNA is filed under the name Caenorhabditis elegans. RNAcentral describes it as "Unclassified non-coding RNA B0353.2". Lineage: Eukaryota; Metazoa; Nematoda; Chromadorea; Rhabditida; Rhabditidae. The record is from RNAcentral.